UUUGAGAGGAAAAAAUAAUAUAGCUUCAAGAUACAAUGAUGCCCUAUUGCCCUGCCCCCAUUUAUUACACAAUCUUUCUGACACGACGAGGAAAAUUUUAAAGCCCCAAAAUCAUAACAUGAAUCCUCAUGACUCAAUGUCAGAUCUCGAGACAUUAGAAAACCCCAACCCAUGAUAAUCAUAUAAUAAUACAAAAUUCUGAAUAAUAUUUACAUAUAUAAUUAGCAUUAAACAUACAUAACUUAAUACAAUACAAAUAAUACAACUGCGAUCACCUCCAUACAAAAGAAACUAAGUACAUCUAUCGCACGAAUACUCAUACAAAUCCCCUCUGUAAUCUUUGUACACCCAUCUCUGCGGAAUCUCAUAUAUCCUCGAGCAGCUGUUUAUCUGAAAGGGGUUAAUGAUAGGGUGAGCAUUUCCACUUGCUCAGUAGUGACUCACAUUUCCAAUAUACUAACUAAUCAUGCAUGACGAUUAAUCAUACUAAACAUUUGAAAGAAUGCAAGUUUUAAUAAUUGAAAGUAACUUUCUACUGUAAAUAAUAAAUAAUAUACAAGCGUUCAUACAAUAAGUCGAGUACCUAUAUCCUAUCAGAGUGUUUAGGGUACGACUGGUACUCGGCCCCAGUCCCAAGCAAUAUCUUAGUUCAGUACUUACCGGUGUGAACCUGCACCGUUAGUUCCUGAUUAUCCGGUCGGGUGAUUACCGUUUUUGUACUCGAGCACAAUAACCCUCUUAUAGGGCUCAGGUGGGCUCUCUGACCACGACGCCCUGAGGGGGGAAUCACCUAUCACGGUGGUCAACCGUUUGACGACUGUAGACUGUUCAGGAUCCUAACACACGUCUAGGAGUGGACUACCUCUCACUCUCCGCGUCUAACCUCCUCGAGGUAGCAUGUAACCCCACAACACACUAACCAUCCACAGCAAAUACCACUAAAAGCAUGGCAAUCCAAGAAGGUAGAAGAGAAAUUCCUGGAAACAUCCUACAAUGUUCGCCUCUAGAAAGUGCCCAUUCACCGUCUAAAGGUCAAUACUACAUAUGUAAUCUUAAAAAGAACGGUCAUAUCUAGAAUAUGACAACAAUUUCUUCUUUGUAGGAAUUCACGGGUCCCUUGCCAGACCGCCUCGUGAAACAAUAUUUAUAUAUAUAGGGUGUCUUUUAAUAAUAAUUAAUUUAAUUUGGCAUGUGUGACGAGUCCCUGGAUUUAUCAUCCAUCAAACCAGUCCCCUAUUCACGGCUACCCUAACCGGGCCAAAGCCAAAGGAAUUAUAAUCCGAUCUGUAAUAAUAUGUUCAUGUAAGCACCCGAAUCAUAUUCCCAAUUCAGGAACCUCACACCAUACCAACAUACAACUGGGAUCCCACAUCGCACAUAUAAAAUCCAUCUCCCUUUUCCUAUCCUGGAAAAGAGGUGCAAUAAAACCUUCAAUAGUUUUUCCGUUUAUAAAACCAUUUCGAUAUACAUAUACUAUUUUAAUAAACCCAGUAUAAAACAUGAUAUCUGUAACUAAUUACUUUAAUAGAAGCUAUAAUCGAUAAACCACGAGUAAUCUAUAUAUACCAAACAAAACCAUACAUACAUUUUUUUUUCAUCAGUAAUAUAUUAGUUAAUUUGCAACAUUUAAAAUAUGACACAUGAAAAGACAAUAUAAAAGAAAUGUAAGUCCCUACCUCUUGCUCGCUUCUUUUAUCCCUUUUCAAUCCAAAAUAUCGCAUUAAAAACGGCAUCGAAAUCCUAUUAUCCUAUUAACACGCAUGUACAUAAACAAUUAUAUCGGUAUCUAAUCUCUAUAGGUUUAAUUUCCAAAAUCAUAUAUAUAUAUUCUAUAAGGACAAGGCUGGUAAAUAUGUGGGGUUAUCCUUAACUGGCUAAUCAAGAAAACCACCCCAAAUCUUAGUUCAUAUACCCAAUUGAAACUAAUCAAUAUGCUCCAUUACACUGGCUAAUUAAAGCGUAUAAGUGAAAUUUACCUUUGUACUUUCUUCAGAUUUUCCUUUGAACCCCACUUAGCCCAAAGCUUUAGUUAUCAGAUGUUUUCCCCCACAACAUCAUAACCCUUCCGAUUCAUAAAUCUCAUUUAUAUAACUUCAUUUUGACUUCAUUUUGAACUAGAUAGAAUGAUAGAUAACAUGAUGUUGCACCUAAUGGAUUCAUAAUAAUCCCAACAUCAUUUGGUGGGCCAUUGAUUCAUUUGCUAAACCCAUUAAGAGCACUCACAUCAACCAUAACACCUCUAAGAGUUAAGCUUGCUGCUACUGCAUACGGAGAAGAUGAGAGAAGAUGAUAAUAUUUGUUUCCUCAUAUUGAUCUUUAUCUCUAUUAAU
This 2330-nucleotide long non-coding RNA is filed under the name Aquilegia coerulea. RNAcentral describes it as "long non-coding RNA (ACOE_LNC000552)". The record is from RNAcentral. Lineage: Eukaryota; Viridiplantae; Streptophyta; Magnoliopsida; Ranunculales; Ranunculaceae.